RNAcentral lists this ribosomal RNA (217 nucleotides) under Escherichia coli. RNAcentral's name for it is "partial 23S ribosomal RNA". It matches the Rfam family "Bacterial large subunit ribosomal RNA", at positions 2726 to 2925 of the family's 2925-position model. The record is from RNAcentral. Lineage: Bacteria; Pseudomonadati; Pseudomonadota; Gammaproteobacteria; Enterobacterales; Enterobacteriaceae.
AUGCCAAUGGCACUGCCCGGUAGCUAAAUGCGGAAGAGAUAAGUGCUGAAAGCAUCUAAGCACGAAACUUGCCCCGAGAUGAGUUCUCCCUGACUCCCUGAGAGUCCUGAAGGAACGUUGAAGACGACGACGUUGAUAGGCCGGGUGUGUAAGCGCAGCGAUGCGUUGAGCUAACCGGUACUAAUGAACCGUGAGGCUUAACCUUACAACGCCGAAG